Molecule: ribosomal RNA, 539 nt
Filed under: uncultured Sphingobacteriales bacterium
Lineage: Bacteria; Pseudomonadati; Bacteroidota; Sphingobacteriia; Sphingobacteriales
Description: bacterial SSU rRNA
Rfam family: Bacterial small subunit ribosomal RNA
Source: RNAcentral
UGGCGCACGGGUGCGUAACGCGUAGGCAACCUACCGCUCACUGGGGUAUAGCCCGGGGAAACCCGGAUUAAUCCCCCAUAGCAAGCUAGUCUGGCAUCAGAUUAUCUUGAAAGAUUUAUUGGUGAGCGAUGGGCCUGCGUCUGAUUAGCUAGUUGGUGGGGUAACGGCUCACCAAGGCUGCGAUCAGUAGGGGACCUGAGAGGGUGAUCCCCCACACUGGUACUGAGACAGGGACCAGACUCCUACGGGAGGCAGCAGUAGGGAAUAUUGGGCAAUGGUGGACACACUGACCCAGCCAUGCCGCGUGCCGGAAGACGGCCCUCUGGGUUGUAAACGGCUUUUAGUCGGGAAGAAACGAUUCCUUGCGAGGGAUUUUGACGGUACCGACAGAAUCAGCACCGGCUAACUCCGUGCCAGCAGCCGCGGUAAUACGGAGGGUGCGAGCGUUGUCCGGAUUUAUUGGGUUUAAAGGGUGCGUAAGCGGGAAGAUAAGUCAGGGGUGAAAGACGGCUGCUCAACAGUCGCAGUGCCCUUGAUAC